This 77-nucleotide transfer RNA is filed under the name Prevotellaceae bacterium. Its description in RNAcentral is "tRNA-His". It matches the Rfam family "tRNA". Rfam says of the family: Transfer RNA (tRNA) molecules are approximately 80 nucleotides in length. Their secondary structure includes four short double-helical elements and three loops (D, anti-codon, and T loops). Further hydrogen bonds mediate the characteristic L-shaped molecular structure. tRNAs have two regions of fundamental functional importance: the anti-codon, which is responsible for specific mRNA codon recognition, and the 3' end, to which the tRNAs corresponding amino acid is attached (by aminoacyl-tRNA synthetases). tRNAs cope with the degeneracy of the genetic code in two manners: having more than one tRNA (with a specific anti-codon) for a particular amino acid; and 'wobble' base-pairing, i.e. permitting non-standard base-pairing at the 3rd anti-codon position. The record is from RNAcentral. Lineage: Bacteria; Pseudomonadati; Bacteroidota; Bacteroidia; Bacteroidales; Prevotellaceae.
GUGGCUGUAGUUCAGUUGGUUAGAGCGUCAGAUUGUGGUUCUGAAUGUCGUGGGUUCGAGUCCCAUCAGCCACCCCA